This 58-nucleotide ribosomal RNA is filed under the name Pleurotus eryngii. Its description in RNAcentral is "partial 28S ribosomal RNA". The record is from RNAcentral. Lineage: Eukaryota; Fungi; Basidiomycota; Agaricomycetes; Agaricales; Pleurotaceae.
GUCCGCGAGGACAAUUUGACAAUUGACCUCAAAUCAGUUACGUCAGGAACCAUGCAGA